GGGGGUAUAGCUCAGUGGUAGAGUUCAUGCUUAGCAUGCAUGAGGUCCUGGGUUCAAUCCCCAGUACUUUCA
RNAcentral lists this transfer RNA (72 nucleotides) under Camelus bactrianus (Bactrian camel). It matches the Rfam family "tRNA". From Rfam's summary of the family: Transfer RNA (tRNA) molecules are approximately 80 nucleotides in length. Their secondary structure includes four short double-helical elements and three loops (D, anti-codon, and T loops). Further hydrogen bonds mediate the characteristic L-shaped molecular structure. tRNAs have two regions of fundamental functional importance: the anti-codon, which is responsible for specific mRNA codon recognition, and the 3' end, to which the tRNAs corresponding amino acid is attached (by aminoacyl-tRNA synthetases). tRNAs cope with the degeneracy of the genetic code in two manners: having more than one tRNA (with a specific anti-codon) for a particular amino acid; and 'wobble' base-pairing, i.e. permitting non-standard base-pairing at the 3rd anti-codon position. RNAcentral also lists the same sequence under 2 other names. Lineage: Eukaryota; Metazoa; Chordata; Mammalia; Artiodactyla; Camelidae. The record is from Rfam by way of RNAcentral.